RNAcentral lists this ribosomal RNA (1695 nucleotides) under Drepane punctata (spotted sicklefish). Its description in RNAcentral is "16S ribosomal RNA". It matches the Rfam family "Bacterial large subunit ribosomal RNA". Lineage: Eukaryota; Metazoa; Chordata; Actinopteri; Ephippiformes; Drepaneidae. The record is from RNAcentral.
ACUAAAAACAAAACCCCCCUAUUUAUACCCCCUCAUGCACAACGCAAGUAUUAAAUAAACCAUUUUACCCCCUUAGUAUAGGCGAUAGAAAAGGGACUUAGAGAGCAAUAGAAAAAGUACCGCAAGGGAACGCUGAAAGAGAAAUGAAACAACCAACUAAAGCCUAAAAAAGCAGAGCUUCCAACUCGUACCUUUUGCAUCAUGAUUUAGCCAGCAACCUCCAAGCAAAGAGCACUUUAGUUUGGCCCCCCGAAACUAGGUGAGCUACUCCAAGACAGCUUAUUAAUAGAGCAAACCCGUCUCUGUGGCAAAAGAGUGGGAAGAACUUCGAGUAGCGGUGACAGACCUAUCGAACCUAGUCAUAGCUGGUUGCCUGAUAACUGAAUAGGAGUUCAGCCUCUCAACUUCUCCCCUCCCGCCUUCAAACCCCGGACCCCUAAGAAAUUGAGAGAGUUAGUCAAAGGGGGUACAGCCCCUUUGACACAAGACACAACUUUACCAGGAGGGUAAAGAUCACAAUAACACCCCAAGGAACAAUGCUCCGGUGGGCUUAAAAGCAGCCACCCCCUCAGAAAGCGUUCAAGCUCUAGCAUUCCCCCUAUCAUCCCCCGAUCCUGAUAGCCCUAUCUUAACCCCCUCACCCUACCAGGCCUUCCCAUGCAAACAUGGGAGUAAUAAUGCUAAUAUGAGUAAUAAGAGGACAUCCGCCCCUCUCCCCGCACAUGUGUAAAUCGAAAUGGACCAACCACCGAACUUUAACGGCCCCAAAACAAAGAGGGUAUUGGACAACAAACCAAACAACCAGAAAACCACCCAACUAUGCAACCGUUAACCCUACACUGGUGUGCCCCCAGGGAAAGACAGAAGGAGAGAGAAGGAACUCGGCAAAUACGAUAUGAGCCUCGCCUGUUUACCAAAAACAUCGCCUCUUGCUAAAGCUAACAAAUAAGAGGUCCCGCCUGCCCUGUGACGAUAAGUUUAACGGCCGCGGUAUCCUGACCGUGCGAAGGUAGCGCAAUCACUUGUCUUUUAAAUGGAGACCUGUAUGAAUGGCAUAACGAGGGCUCGACUGUCUCCUCUCCCCAGUCAAUGAAAUUGAUCCUCCCGUGCAGAAGCGGGAAUACACACAUAAGACGAGAAGACCCUAUGGAGCUUUAGACACUAAAGCAGAUCAUGUCAAAACCCCCUAAACAAGGAACAAAACUAAUUGAGCUCUGCCCUAAUGUCUUCGGUUGGGGCGACCGCGAGGCACAAAAAACCCCCGCGUGGAUCAAGGACACCUACUUUCUCCUCCAGCCUCCUUACAGCCCAGAGCCCCCGCUCUCACAAACAGAACUUCUGACCUACAAGAUCCGGCAAAGCCGAUCAACGGACCAAGUUACCCUAGGGAUAACAGCGCAAUCCCCUUUUAGAGCCCAUAUCGACAAGGGGGUUUACGACCUCGAUGUUGGAUCAGGACAUCCUAAUGGUGCAGCCGCUAUUAAGGGUUCGUUUGUUCAACGAUUAAAGUCCUACGUGAUCUGAGUUCAGACCGGAGCAAUCCAGGUCAGUUUCUAUCUAUGAAAUGAUCUUUUCUAGUACGAAAGGACCGAAAAGAUGAGGCCCAUGCCACAAGUACGCCUCACCCUUACCCGAUGAAAUCAACUCAAACAGACAAAAGGGCAUACACGCCUCUAACGCCUAAAAGAACGGCAU